GAUGAACGCUAGCUACAGGCUUAGCACAUGCAAGUCGAGGGGUAACAAGAGGAAAGCUUGCUUUUCUUGUUGACGACCGGCGCACGGGUGAGUAACGCGUAUCCAACCUGCCUAUAACUAGGGAAUAACCUUGCGAAAGUAAGACUAAUACCCUAUGAUUUCCUUUGAUGACAUCAGAUUAGGAAUAAAGAUUUAUCGGUUAUAGAUGGGGAUGCGUCUGAUUAGCUUGUUGGCGGGGUAACGGCCCACCAAGGCAACGAUCAGUAGGGGUUCGGAGAGGAAGGUCCCCCACAUUGGAACUGAGACACGGUCCAAACUCCUACGGGAGGCAGCAGUGAGGAAUAUUGGUCAAUGGGCGGAAGCUUGAACCAGCCAAGUAGCGUGCAGGAUGACGGCCCUAUGGGUUGUAAACUGCUUUUAUACAGGAAUAAAGUUAGCCACGUGUGGUUAUUUGUAGGUACUGUAUGAAUAAGGACCGGCUAAUUCCGUGCCAGCCGCCGCCGUAA
This 506-nucleotide ribosomal RNA is filed under the name uncultured bacterium. RNAcentral's name for it is "partial 16S ribosomal RNA". It matches the Rfam family "Bacterial small subunit ribosomal RNA", at positions 28 to 523 of the family's 1533-position model. The record is from RNAcentral.